Long non-coding RNA from Gavia stellata (red-throated loon), 1432 nucleotides. RefSeq lists it as uncharacterized. Lineage: Eukaryota; Metazoa; Chordata; Aves; Gaviiformes; Gaviidae. The record is from RefSeq and is a predicted model, not a curated record. The transcript is spliced from 3 exons.
UUGUGGCUGUUCCUGAGUCACCGCAGUUCCAGUCCUGCCGUGCCUGCUCAGCGCCGUUCAAUGGAAGGCUGUUAGCAGCACUGAUGUUUGCACUGCUGCCAUAGGAGACAGCCUGGCAAGGGGAAAAAAAAAACCCAAACACCCCUAAUGAAGCCUAGGACAGCUGGAACAGUUUUUAACUAUCAGAAAAGAGCUCCAUCCUGCUCUGCGUGGUGAGGAUCAUGCGCUUACCAGGAACCGUCUUCAGAGCCCUUCCAAAAAAGGACAUUUCCAGCAUUGAUACUUCAAGAACGAGAGCCAACAAGUCAGACUCCAAGCCCUGGAAGGACCACAUGCCCUGCAGCUGCCCCUGCGACGGGAAAAGCUGAGUAUUCACGUGGAGUGCCAGUCACCUGCCUGGAGCACAAGCACCUUCUACACUCAUAUCCUAUAGCCUUUUUUUUUUUUUAAUGGUAGCCUGGCAUGUGGCCCCGGUGAGGCUCAGGAGGAGGAGCAUGUGGCUGUCCCAGAUAUCUGUGGUACCUGCCAUGGGUGUAAGCCCCUCUGCAGGACCUGCACCACCAGGCUGAGGACGUGGUCGCUUUUUGUGCCCCCAAACAUGCUCCGGUUUGACUCCAGUUGAACAGGGGUGGCCACAGAGCCGGCUGGAGGCGUCAGCCCCUUCCCCAGGGCCCUGUUCUCUUGGUGCCUGCCGCAAGAGCCGCCCCACAUUCUCCCCGGGGGCAUGGGGAGUGUCCGGCAGCUCCUCUGCGCUCCGGGUGGGAGAAAUCUCUGCUGUGGGCUGAAAGCACCCACAGCAGAUGCAGGGAGGGACAGCUUGCUGGCUGUGUCCAUCGUCCUUCAGGAGCGUCUGCAGACACAGUUACUCAUCCACACUGGUGCCAGCUCUGGAGACGGGCAAACCACCAUGUCGCCCUCCUCCUUUGCUGUUUCUCCAUGGGCACAGGACAGCCUGUGAACAACGGUAAAAGGACCUUUUGGAAAUUUAUUGCAAAACCCUGUGAUCACCAAUUUUAAAAAAAAAACACAAAAGCCAGAUUCAUUUAAUCGGCCUGUCUCUGCUCAUCCUGUCCUGCAAUUUAUAGACAGCAUAGAAACUUUACAGGAGUUACGAACUAGGUACCAAGCGAAGCACUAGGCUUUCAUCUGGAGCAUUACAGUUCUGCUCCUUGCUUUUAUCAGUUUGCUCAUUGGGCAAGAAAGCCUAGUGCAGAAGCUGAAUGUCUGUCUUUGAAAAAAUUAACAAUAUCUACUUAAUGCUGAAACAAUGCCUUAUGACUUGCUGUCAGGGCCUUCAGCUAGUUUGAGCUUAGCUUAUUCCAGACCAGGCUGCUUUAUAUGUCAUGGCGCAUGUCCUCAACUUCAGCCCGCUGUUGUACGCCUUAUCUGAAACCCUGCUCCUGGGAUUUGCAGUCAUUUGUUCAAAAUUAAA